Molecule: ribosomal RNA, 253 nt
Filed under: uncultured archaeon
Lineage: Archaea
Description: partial 16S ribosomal RNA
Rfam family: Archaeal small subunit ribosomal RNA
Source: RNAcentral
AACCAGCAGCUAGAGUGGAGUUCACUUUGAUUGAGCCAGAAGCGUUCGUAGCCUGCUCUGUAAAUCUUCAGACAAAUUCUUCUGCUUAACGGAAGAUCCUCUGGAGAGACUGCAGAGCAAGGGACCGUGUGAGGUUGAAGGUACUUCCGGGGUAGGGGUAAAAUCCUGUAAUCCUGGAAGGACGACCGGUGGCGAAGGCGUUCAACUAGAACGGAUCCGACAGUGAGGACAGAUGGCUAGGGGAGCAAACCGG